UUGUAUAAGGUUAUUUAUAUAAAUUAUAUAAUAUAAAUUUAUCUAUUUAAUAUAUUUUAUAAGGUUAUUUAUAUAAAUUAUACAAUAUAAUUUUUUUAUAGGGUCUAUAUGCAAUUUUCUCCGGGUACGGGGAUGGGGAUUGAAAUCCCCGCUCUGGAUAAUCCCCGUACCCGGAAAUGACCGGAGAUUUCGAUUGGGGACGGGGAAUUUUCUGCUUCGGGUAGGAAAAUCAUCCCCGUACCCGUUCGUCCGGGUACGGGCCGAGGAAUCUCACUCCUAAUGUCUGGCCUUGUAAUGGUAAGGUAUAGCAAUUUACCAAUCAAUUUUUUAUAUUGAGACGGAUCAUGCAGGGAAGGAAUGGAUUCAUUAGACUUUAGGUCAUGUUUAAGUGGAACAGAUGAUGGUGUAGUGUGUAACCGUCGUCACCUUACCGCGAUCUGUUAUGGAGGAGAUGCAGAAAUUGUUACCUGCGGAGGAAGAACAACGAGAAGAAUUAAUACCCACAGAAAUUGAAAAGUUAAUAGACAAGAUAGGAGAAGAAGAAGCUUCUAUAGAUGGAGUGGUCGGAAACAUUCCGACCAGCACACCUACUGAACAAGAAUGCCCUGAACCAAAACCUGACAGCCCUAAAGUUGCAAGGAAGGGAACCAUUCACGCUGACAAGGAAGCCAACGUGAGGAAGGGAGAUAGAAUCCGUAAUCAGUCAACU
This 709-nucleotide long non-coding RNA is filed under the name Zostera marina. RNAcentral describes it as "long non-coding RNA (ZMAR_LNC005894)". The record is from RNAcentral. Lineage: Eukaryota; Viridiplantae; Streptophyta; Magnoliopsida; Alismatales; Zosteraceae.